This 811-nucleotide long non-coding RNA is filed under the name Homo sapiens (human). RNAcentral describes it as "HSALNT0108870". Lineage: Eukaryota; Metazoa; Chordata; Mammalia; Primates; Hominidae. The record is from RNAcentral.
AGUUAUGACUUGUCAUCUUUUUUCCCCAGACUUUUAUGCUUCUCAUACAAAGCAUAAAUUAUACUUCUCAUACAAAGCUAGAGAAUAUAAUAAACUAUAAGAACCAUAGAAGAUUGUCCGAAGGAGGCUUACAUUAGAUAAAUAACAUUCAGGGAAUGACAAUAGAACUGAAAAAGAAACUAUAUUCUCUCGGAAACAUGUUCAUAAAAUUCAGUACAUUCAAGAAUACUGAUUAAUAAGAUAUAGAGGUGGAUGAAGUGCUCCUGAGAUGCAAUGAAUAUAAAAAUAGAGAAAAAACAUAGAAAAUGACUAGUAGUAUCCUUGGAUCAGCCCCUUUUCACAACCAUAAUCAUUAUUCUGUCAUAGUCAUAGUUUUCCUGUCUCUUUGCUUCCAGACUUUCCUUCCUGAACCAAUUGUCUAAUUCAGUGGCCACUAAAAGAGUUUUAUCAUUGGUAUCAGCAAUUUUGAGUCUAAAGUGAUCUUUCAUAUCAAAUUUAAGUUUCAAAUCUGUGAACUUCAGGGUUUCCUAUGAGUGGUUCCAGCACUUUUUACCUUACUGAUCUUUUGAUGUGCCUUGAUUUCCAUCUCAUUUAUAGCCAGAUUAGUUUAAUGAUUUUCAUAUACACCUAACAAUUUUAUAUACACUUCAUAGCCAGCUCACUAGUCAUCUGUCCAGAAGAAAAUGUUCUAAUUUCCUAUUAGUCAUUUCAUGUUCUGUCCUUCCCCCAUUAUAAUUAAUUUUUGUUCACUCAGAAAUAUCAGGGAUUAAAUGAUUCUGAAUUUUUGGGCAAUGUGGCUGAUUUAAUACAA